GCCUGAGAGGGCGACCGGCCACACUGGGACUGAGACACGGCCCAGGACUCCUACGGGAGGCAGCAGUGGGGAAUAUUGCACAAUGGGCGGAAGCCUGAUGCAGCGACGCCGCGUGAGGGAUGACGGCCUUCGGGUUGUAAACCUCUUUCAGCAGGGACGAAGCGAGAGUGACGGUACCUGCAGAAGAAGCACCGGCCAACUACGUGCCAGCAGCCGCGGUAAGACGUAGGGUGCGAGCGUUGUCCGGAUUUAUUGGGCGUAAAGAGCUCGUAGGCGGCUUGUCGCGUCGACCGUGAAAACUUGGGGCUCAACUCCAAGCCUGCGGUCGAUACGGGCAGGCUAGAGUUCGGUAGGGGAGACUGGAAUUCCUGGUGUAGCGGUGAAAUGCGCAGAUAUCAGGAGGAACACCGGUGGCGAAGGCGGGUCUCUGGGCCGAUACUGACGCUGAGGAGCGAAAGCGUGGGGAGCGAACAGGAUUAGAUACCCUGG
This 489-nucleotide ribosomal RNA is filed under the name Micromonospora sp. MP38-G6. Its description in RNAcentral is "bacterial SSU rRNA". It matches the Rfam family "Bacterial small subunit ribosomal RNA", at positions 290 to 790 of the family's 1533-position model. The record is from RNAcentral. Lineage: Bacteria; Bacillati; Actinomycetota; Actinomycetes; Micromonosporales; Micromonosporaceae.